RNAcentral lists this non-coding RNA (22 nucleotides) under Arabidopsis thaliana (thale cress). The record is from RNAcentral. Lineage: Eukaryota; Viridiplantae; Streptophyta; Magnoliopsida; Brassicales; Brassicaceae.
AGAUGAUGGACUUAGAUGAUGG